AUACUUACCUGAUAGGAGAGAUACUGUGAUCAUUAAGACAGUAUUCUCAGGGUGAGGCCGACCCAUUGCACUUCAUGGGGAAAGGUUGACCCUUGCGAUUUUCCCAAAUGUGGGAAACUCGACUGUACAAUUUCAGGAGUGC
Molecule: small nuclear RNA, 142 nt
Filed under: Eptatretus burgeri (inshore hagfish)
Lineage: Eukaryota; Metazoa; Chordata; Myxini; Myxiniformes; Myxinidae
Description: U1 spliceosomal RNA (ENSEBUG00000000127.1)
Rfam family: U1 spliceosomal RNA
About the family: U1 is a small nuclear RNA (snRNA) component of the spliceosome (involved in pre-mRNA splicing). Its 5' end forms complementary base pairs with the 5' splice junction, thus defining the 5' donor site of an intron.
Source: Rfam by way of RNAcentral